RNAcentral lists this ribosomal RNA (467 nucleotides) under uncultured bacterium. RNAcentral describes it as "partial 16S ribosomal RNA". It matches the Rfam family "Bacterial small subunit ribosomal RNA", at positions 28 to 507 of the family's 1533-position model. The record is from RNAcentral.
GAUGAACGCUGGCGGCGUGCUUAACACAUGCAAGUCGAACGGAAAGGCUCCUGCUUGCAGGGGUACUCGAGUGGCGAACGGGUGAGUAACACGUGGGUGAUCUGCCCUGCACUUCGGGAUAAGCCUGGGAAACUGGGUCUAAUACCGGAUAGGACCACAUUUUGGAUGGUGUGGUGGAAAGUUUUUCGGUGUGGGAUGAGCUCGCGGCCUAUCAGCUUGUUGGUGGGGUAAUGGCCUACCAAGGCGUCGACGGGUAGCCGGCCUGAGAGGGUGUACGGCCACAUUGGGACUGAGAGACGGCCCAGACUCCUACGGGAGGCAGCAGGGGGGAAUAUUGCACAAUGGGCGCAAGCCUGAUGCAGCGACGCCGCGUGGGGGAUGACGGCCUUCGGGUUGUAAACUCCUUUCGCUAGGGACGAAGCGUUUUUGUGACGGUACCUGGAGAAGAAGCACCGGCUAACUACGUG